AUUGAACGCUGGCGGCAGGCCUAACACAUGCAAGUCGAACGGUAACAGGAAGAAGCUUGCUUCUUUGCUGACGAGUGGCGGACGGGUGAGUAAUGUCUGGGAAACUGCCUGAUGGAGGGGGAUAACUACUGGAAACGGUAGCUAGUACCGCAUAACGUCGCAAGCACAAAGAGGGGGACCUUCGGGCGUCUUGCCGUCGGAUGUGCCCAGAUGGGAUUAGCUAGGAGGUGGGGUAACGGCUCAGCUAGGCGACGAUCGCUAGCUGGUGUGAGGGGAUGAGCAGCCACACUGGAACUGAGACACGGUCCAGACUCCUACGGGAGGCAGCAGUGGGGAAUAUUGCACAAUGGGCGCAAGCCUGAUGCAGCGAGGCCGCGUGUAUGAAGAAGGCCUUCGGGUUGUAAAGUACUUUCAGCGGGGAGGAAGGGAGUAAAGUUAAUACCUUGACUCAUUGACGUUACCCGCAGAAGAAGCACCGGCUAACUCCGUG
This 490-nucleotide ribosomal RNA is filed under the name uncultured bacterium. Its description in RNAcentral is "partial 16S ribosomal RNA". It matches the Rfam family "Bacterial small subunit ribosomal RNA", at positions 29 to 507 of the family's 1533-position model. The record is from RNAcentral.